AGAGUUUGAUCCUGGCUCAGGACGAACGCUGGCGGCGUGCCUAACACAUGCAAGUCGAACGGGACCGGGGGCAACUCCGGUUCAGUGGCGGACGGGUGCGUAACACGUGAGGAACAUGACCUUCGGCGGGGGAUAGCCGGCCCAACGGCCGGGUAAUACCGCGUACGACCAUUUGGGGACAUCCCCGAGUGGUGAAAGCAGCAAUGCGCCGAUGGAGUGCCUCGCGGCCUAUCAGCUUGUUGGUGGGGUGAUGGCCUACCAAGGCGACGACGGGUAGCCGGCCUGAGAGGGUGACCGGCCACACUGGGACUGAGACACGGCCCAGACUCCUACGGGAGGCAGCAGUGGGGAAUAUUGCGCAAUGGGCGGAAGCCUGACGCAGCGACGCCGCGUGGGGGAUGACGGCCUUCGGGUUGUAAACCUCUUUCAGUAGGGACGAAGCGGAAGUGACGGUACCUACAGAAGAAGCACCGGCCAACUACGUGCCAGCAGCCGCGGUAAUACGUAGGGUGCAAGCGUUGUCCGGAAUUAUUGGGCGUAAAGAGCUCGUAGGCGGUCUGUCGCGUCGGCUGUGAAAACCCGAGGCUCAACCUCGGGCCUGCAGUCGAUACGGGCAAACUAGAGUGUUGCAGGGGAGACUGGAAUUCCUGGUGUAGCGGUGAAAUGCGCAGAUAUCAGGAGGAACACCGGUGGCGAAGGCGGGUCUCUGGGCAACAACUGACGCUGAGGAGCGAAAGCGUGGGGAGCGAACAGGAUUAGAUACCCUGGUAGUCCACGCCGUAAACGUUGGGCGCUAGGUGUGGGGGCCAUUCCACGGUCUCCGUGCCGCAGCUAACGCAUUAAGCGCCCCGCCUGGGGAGUACGGCCGCAAGGCUAAAACUCAAAGGAAUUGACGG
Molecule: ribosomal RNA, 896 nt
Filed under: uncultured bacterium
Lineage: Bacteria
Description: bacterial SSU rRNA
Rfam family: Bacterial small subunit ribosomal RNA
Source: RNAcentral